UGUACACUCCUACGGGAGGCAGCAGUGGGGAAUAUUGGACAAUGGGCGCAAGCCUGAUCCAGCCAUGCCGCGUGAGUGAUGAAGGCCCUAGGGUUGUAAAGCUCUUUCACCGGUGAAGAUAAUGACGGUAACCGGAGAAGAAGCCCCGGCUAACUUCGUGCCAGCAGCCGCGGUAAUACGAAGGGGGCUAGCGUUGUUCGGAUUUACUGGGCGUAAAGCGCACGUAGGCGGACUAUUAAGUCAGGGGUGAAAUCCCGGGGCUCAACCCCGGAACUGCCUUUGAUACUGGUAGUCUUGUGGUCGAGAGAGGAGAGUGGAAUUCCGAGUGUAGAGGUGAAAUGCGUAGAUAUUCGGAGGAACACCAGUGGCGAAGGCGGCUCACUGGCUCGAUACUGACGCUGAGGUGCGAAAGCGUGGGGAGCAAACAGGAUUAGAAACCCCGGUAGUCCCAUGAU
Molecule: ribosomal RNA, 455 nt
Filed under: uncultured organism
Description: partial 16S ribosomal RNA
Rfam family: Bacterial small subunit ribosomal RNA
Source: RNAcentral